Molecule: ribosomal RNA, 604 nt
Filed under: Podonomus cf. orbiculatus/fittkaui SRM-2009
Lineage: Eukaryota; Metazoa; Arthropoda; Insecta; Diptera; Chironomidae
Description: eukaryotic LSU rRNA
Rfam family: Eukaryotic large subunit ribosomal RNA
Source: RNAcentral
UUCAGUAUUGAAGUGAUUCAGUGUGCACUUUGCUUUUAGUAAGACGUUGUGAUCCAUUAGGAAUGGAUGUGUGUAAUAACACAUCAAUGGGCUACCAAUAGGCCUGCAUGAAGUUCAUGGUGGCAAACAAUUGGGCCGUUGUGGUCUAGUAUAUUGCCCUGUGAGCGUGUGGCGUCUGCUGUAGCUGCCUGAUGGAUUUUAAAGGUGAUACCGUAAUGUCUUUGACAUUACCCGCUUAUGGUGGGAUUCAGAUAUCUACCCGAUCAACAACGGUUAAAUUUGGGAUACCUUUGGGACCCGUCUUGAAACACGGACCAAGGAGUCUAUCUAGUAUGCGAGUAAAUGGGCACAAGAAAACCUAUUUGCGUAAAUAACUUGACUGUUAUGGGAUUACGAGCUGCACCCUGCCAUAUGGUGUGGUGCGUUCCUCCAUCCCGGGGUAUUUUUAUAUAAUGUCCUGCCAGUUCUUUGGGACUGGUGGAUACAUAGAAAAUAUACCAUGAGCACACUGGAUAUGACCCGAAAGAUGGUGAACUAUGCCUGAUCAGGUUGAAGUCAGGGGAAACCCUGAUGGAGGACCGAAGCAAUUCUGACGUGCAAAUCG